UACAGAGGUCUCAAGCGUUGUUCGGAUUCAUUGGGCGUAAAGGGUGCGUAGGUGGCGGGGUAAGUCAGGUGUGAAAUCUCGGAGCUCAACUCCGAAACUGCACUUGAUACUGCCUUGCUUGAGUACUGGAGAGGAGAUUGGAAUUUACGGUGUAGCAGUGAAAUGCGUAGAUAUCUGAAGGAACAUCAGUGGCGAAAGCGACUUCCUGGACCAAUACUGACGCUCAUGUGCGAAAGCGUGGGGAGCAAACAGG
RNAcentral lists this ribosomal RNA (253 nucleotides) under uncultured bacterium. RNAcentral describes it as "partial 16S ribosomal RNA". It matches the Rfam family "Bacterial small subunit ribosomal RNA", at positions 524 to 776 of the family's 1533-position model. The record is from RNAcentral.